Molecule: long non-coding RNA, 312 nt
Filed under: Chinchilla lanigera (long-tailed chinchilla)
Lineage: Eukaryota; Metazoa; Chordata; Mammalia; Rodentia; Chinchillidae
Description: lncRNA (ENSCLAG00000023910.1)
Source: RNAcentral
ACAGAUGCUUAUCACAGGGUUCGGUGCUUCCUGAAAUCGAUUUCUUCUGCUUCUGCCUUUUCUUAGCAGGGAUCCUCGCCCGGCGGGGGUGCGGUGCCUCUGAGGACUGUGCUGGUUGGGAGGUCCGAGAGCGCGAUGCAUCUGCAUGGGAAAUGAAAUUCAAAGCAAAAUCAAGGACAGCUUGACUGGAACAAGAUGGGGGUAAUUGCUUCCGAUCUAGACGACUUUCACGGCACAGUCUCUUUGGUGUCUGAUGUUUUAGAUUCCUGCCAUGGCGGGUAAGUAUUGGGGCAGAAUAUCCUACGCUCCUGG